Molecule: ribosomal RNA, 1042 nt
Filed under: uncultured Bilophila sp.
Lineage: Bacteria; Pseudomonadati; Thermodesulfobacteriota; Desulfovibrionia; Desulfovibrionales; Desulfovibrionaceae
Description: bacterial SSU rRNA
Rfam family: Bacterial small subunit ribosomal RNA
Source: RNAcentral
CCGCGGUAAUACGGAGGGUGCAAGCGUUAAUNGGAAUCACUGGGCGUAAAGCGCACGUAGGCGGCUUGGUAAGUCAGGGGUGAAAUCCCACAGCCCCAACUGUGGAACUGCCUUUGAUACUGCCAGGCUUGAGUACCGGAGAGGGUGGCGGAAUUCCAGGUGUAGGAGUGAAAUCCGUAGAUAUCUGGAGGAACACCGGUGGCGAAGGCGGCCACCUGGACGGUAACUGACGCUGAGGUGCGAAAGCGUGGGUAGCAAACAGGAUUAGAUACCCUGGUAGUCCACGCUGUAAACGAUGGGUGCUGGGUGCUGGGAUGUAUGUCUCGGUGCCGUAGCUAACGCGAUAAGCACCCCGCCUGGGGAGUACGGUCGCAAGGCUGAAACUCAAAGAAAUUGACGGGGGCCCGCACAAGCGGUGGAGUAUGUGGUUUAAUUCGAUGCAACGCGAAGAACCUUACCCAGGCUUGACAUCUAGGGAACCCUUCGGAAAUGAAGGGGUGCCCUUCGGGGAGCCCUAAGACAGGUGCUGCAUGGCUGUCGUCAGCUCGUGCCGUGAGGUGUUGGGUUAAGUCCCGCACCGAGCGCAACCCCUAUCUUCAGUUGCCAGCAGGUAAGGCUGGGCACUCUGGAGAGACCGCCCCGGUCAACGGGGAGGAAGGUGGGGACGACGUCAAGUCAUCAUGGCCCUUACGCCUGGGGCUACACACGUACUACAAUGGCGCGCACAAAGGGUAGCGAGACCGCGAGGUGGAGCCAAUCCCAAAAAACGCGUCCCAGUCCGGAUUGGAGUCUGCAACUCGACUCCAUGAAGUCGGAAUCGCUAGUAAUUCGAGAUCAGCAUGCUCGGGUGAAUGCGUUCCCGGGCCUUGUACACACCGCCCGUCACACCACGAAAGUCGGUUUUACCCGAAGCCGGUGAGCUAACUCGCAAGAGAAGCAGCCGUCUACGGUAGGGCCGAUGAUUGGGGUGAAGUCGUAACAAGGUAGCAAUCACUAGUGAAUUCGCGGCCGCCUGCAGNNNGNCCAUANGGGAGAGCUCCCA